GCCUUGACCUCCCAAAGUGCUGGGAUUACAGGUGUGAGCCACUGUGCCCAGUCCUUUCUUUUUUUUUCUUUUCUUUUUUUUUUUUUUUUUGAGACAGUCUUGCCCUGUCGCCCAGGCUGGAGUGCAGUGGCGCGAUCUCGGCUCACUGCAACCUCCGCCUCUCAGGUUCAAGCUAUUCUCUGCCUCAGCCUCCGGAGUAGCUGGGAUUACAAGCACCCACCACCACGCCCGGUAAUUUUUGUAUUUUUUUAGUAGAGAUGGGGUUUCACCAUCUUGGCCAGGCUGGUCUUGAACUCCUGACCUUGUGAUCCACCUGCCUUGGUCUCCCAAAGCGUUGGGAUUACAGGCGUGAGCCACCAUGCCUGGCCUUUUCUUUUCUUUUUUUGAGACAGGAUCUUGCUCUGUCCUUCAGGCUGGAGUGCAGUGGCACUAUCAGCUCACAGCAGCCUUGACCUCCUGGGCUCAAACAAUCCUCCUGCCUCAGCCUCCUGAGUAGCUGGGACUACAGGUAUGCAUCACCACACUCAGCUAAUGUUUUUUUGAUUUUUUGUAGAGACAAGGUCUCACCAUGUUGUCCGGGCUGGACUUGAACUCCCAAAAGUGUUGGGAUUACAGGCAUAAGCUGCUGCGCCCAGCUGAGAGAGACCAUUCUGAGAGAGGCCAUGGGAGCCUCAGCAGGCUGUGAGACAACCUUAGCCAGGGCAGGAGCCUGGAAACAGGUGGGCAGAUGAGGCUGGGCUGAUGGGAGAUGCAUGAGGUCUGAGCUGGAAGGGAUCUCAAAGAUCUCUCCAACUCAUUUUACAGGAGGAAAUUGAGGCCCAAAGAGGGAAAGGGGCUUGCCCAAUGACACACAAGAGGUUAACGGUAGAGCCAGGCUAGAAAGACCCAGAGAAGAUCAAGUACACCCCAAUUAAACACAAAGUUCACCCUCACAUACUCCCACCUCCAGGCACCACCGCCCCCGCCCCAUCCAACAAGCACACUAACACUGGGGCAGUGACAGUGGCUGCAUUUCCUCCUAUAAUAGACCCUCUUUUCCCAGGAUGAAGCCCCCACCUUAGGUUAUUAGGGGCUCCAGUCAGACCCAGCUCAGCUUCUAUUUCACUGUGGGGACCCUGGGGCCUUCCUUCCCAUUCCCUGAGCCACAGUUUGCUCAUCUGUGAUGUGAGGCCACUGGACCAACUGACCACUGUGGUUUUUUCAGUUCUCAGUGAGCAGAGGAAGGCGAGGCUAGGGCUUCUUCCUCCCUCUGGUCCCCCAGCCCCCAGUCCAGCCUGACAGGGGUGGGGCCGGCCUGCUGGGGCUCACAUGCCUGAGGAGUAAGCUCCUGGUCCCGAGGAGGCAACAUGAUCUGUAAAAGAUCCCUGACCAUCUUUUUGAACCCUGGAGAGGGCGUCUCAGUCAUAUGAGGACCACAGGGGGAUUAGCGAUGCUUAGAAGGGAGGCCAGGGAGAGCUGCCCUGUCCUAGCCUUCUGGGAGUGCCCCAGCCCCUCUGAAGGGGUUCGAGCCAAUCCAGGGCCUAUGCAAUGAGGGACCAGCAGGACUCAGGGGAUGGGGGAAAGGACCUUCUCAAGGCUCAUUUUGGGAGGGGGAGUACAUACCUGCUUCCCCCACCCGUGCUCCCCCAUGACCCACUCCAUGGGAUAUUUGGGUUUCCUCCCCUUUCCCGAGCUCAGGCCCUGCUUGCUUUCUCCACAACAAGGAGCGAAUGUUAUUUAAAAGGAGAUCAGGAGAUUUGCCUUAAAUAGGCAUGGAGUGCUGUGCCAGGUCCCAGUAGAGGGGCGGGAGAGGAGGCCAUCUUGGCGGAAGGGAGAAAGGAGUGGAGCUGCAAGAGAGAACAACCUCCCAGGAGUGCGCAGAGCCCUGCACAGUUUACCAAGCACAGGCCUAGUCUGCGGGGAGACGCCCCGGUCUUCAGAUGCCAGGAGUGUGGAGGUUUUCUGGGAGGCAAGGGGAUAGGGCCUGCAGAGUGGGGGGCUGUCUUGAGACCUCCCCUGACACCUGCCCCCACCAUCAGUUUCCAGACCUUUGGCCCCUGCCCCCGGGCUGCCCCUGCCUGUCCUCCCAGCCCUAGCUUGUAACUGGAUGCCAUCCUCACUCUGCACCUUCCCAGGUGAUGCUCUUGGAAUCUUAAGGAAAUGGAGUCUGGCCUGUGGAGUUUUGGGGACAGAGCUAGGGGGAAAGGAAGCAUCCCAUGUUCAGUCCUUUUUUCAAAGGCCCUGAACACCAAGGUCUAAAGAUUCCACUGUAGACUGGGCGCGGUGGCUCACACUUGUAAUCCCAGCACUUUGGGAGGCUGAGGUGGGCGGAUCACCUGAGGCUGGGAGUUCGAGACCAGCCUGACCGAC
This 2349-nucleotide long non-coding RNA is filed under the name Homo sapiens (human). RNAcentral describes it as "HSALNT0221474". The record is from RNAcentral. Lineage: Eukaryota; Metazoa; Chordata; Mammalia; Primates; Hominidae.